CACCAAACUUUUGGCGUUGUUCCAAUUUGAUCACCCAAAAUUUUUUAUUCCCGGAAAAAACAAAGAGCUCUCACUUUGGCGAAGAGUUAAUGGAGUCCUAACUCAGUCACUCUCAGCAAAGUACUAAUAAAACUGGGAUUCAUUCAUUAAUGUCAAAAUCAGGAACUUGAAUACCGGGAUUCGUAUAUUCAAUUCUUAACGGUAUGCAUUUCUUUCUUAUUUGUUCUCCAAUAACAAGUAUCUUGUCAAUUGUGUUUCGUUUGGUGGGUUCUUUUUCUUUCCUUUUUUGUUCAUAUUUACUUAUAUUUUUGUUAUUUUUUGGAGAUUGUUGGGGGUAUGAGAAGUUCCAGACCUGUAGUUCAUUCGUGGUAUUUUUAUUUAUUUUUUUAUCAACCUGUUUGCACUUCUGCUAUAGCCUACCUAGGUUUUCAUUGUCGUCUUAGUUUUUGUCCUUGAAACUUAUUUUGGAUAUGUUGAUAAUAAUUAUUUAACCUCAGUUUAUGAAUUAAAUCCUGUUAUGCGUUUAUAAAAUCCCAGAAGCAUGAUCAAGAUUUGAUUAGAAUGCUUAGCUGAGUGCUUAAUUUGAUUGGUUGAUCUUAAAAUCUUAGGGCCUAUUCUCUUUGUUGUUUUCAAAUCAUUUUCAGUUUUUAAUUUUCGAAUACACCAAAAACAUGUUUAUUUACCUAUUUUCAGAAAUGAAUUUUCGAAAACAUGGAAAAAAAUUACGAAGAAAAUGCAAAACGGCCUUUUAGUCAUUUUGGCUAUUUUUAGUAGAAAUCAAGCCAAAACUUCAAAAUACCGAAAAUGCGGUGUUUUUGCCAAUAGCAGGAUAACUCAGUUGGUUGAGUCAUGGAUUUUCUUAAGGUCACAAGUUCAAUUCCGUUUCACCGCAAUUUAAUACAAAGGGAUUUUCUUUCUAUAUGCACAGUACAAGAAAUUUCAAUUAAAUUCCGCGUUUUUUUAGCCAAUAGCGGGAUAGCUCAGUUGGUAGAGUUACGGAUUUUGAGAUGGUCACGAGUUUGAUUCCACCAACCUAUUUUCAAUACGAAGGAUUUUUAUUAUUAUUAUUUUUUUAAUAUGCAUGGUACAAAAAUCUUUUAUACUUGGUUUAAUGCAGUGGCUAAAAAUCCUGUUGUAGGGUUGUCUAAUUUCUUGUUGUUCCUUUCAUGCUUAAAGUGAUUGUAUACCUCCCGUGUACUCUCUUUUAAGGAAUAAAAUUCUCUAAUUACCUAUAAAAAAAAAAAAAAAAAAAAAAUCUUUCAAAUAAAUUAGUAGGUGGCUGAGAUUCAAACCUAGGUCACCAGCAUGGAGUUUUAAUGUCUUUACCACUAUGGCAAUCGCUUUUGCUUUGUUGUAUAAGUAAAUAAGCUAUAUAUAUAUUGAAUAAUUGCUUUUUCAGUUUUUCAAUACUAAUGUAAACGCGUUUUUCAAUUUUUUAUUUUUGAAAACAAUUUUUCAAAAUGGCAAAAAGAAAUCAUUUUCAACAAUCUCAAAACACAAAAUCCAAUUUGAAUUUAAAACUCAAAACUAAAAAUUGAAACACGAAGAGAAAAACCACUGAGUUUCUAGGGAAAAAAAGGUAAAUGUGUUGUUUCUACAUUUAUGAGUUGUUUUGAUUGCAGUGGGGGUUUUUUUGGCAUUAACAUCUUGUAAGUUGUAUAUCAUAGCCUCAGGGCUGGUAGUGAAACAGCAAAUGAAUUCAGCGAUUUCUCCAUUAGUUGAAAAAUGUAGCAUGGCUGUGGAAUUGACAAAAGUUCAUGUAUUUUACAUAGGAAUUGUCUUUGAAAUUAGCUUGAGUUUCCUAUUAUGUACUCUGGUAAAUGCAAGAACUGUACUUCUGUUAAAACAUGCCAAAACUCUUCCAAAGUCUGUAUGUGAUUAGUAUUCUUGAAAACUGGGAGUUAUCUAAGUCUAAUAAAAGAAAUUACAUUCCUUUUAAAAAUUCUACAACUGAAGCUUUGGAGGGAUUAUGCCAAGUGGUCGACCAAGUCACUAUCAGUAUAGUAUCAAUGGAAUGUCAAAAUUCUAGUUGAAUUCAUUAUAUCCAUCCUAAUGCUAGUGAGGAAUGACAUAUAACAUGUGUAGAAGCAGUGUUCUUUAAAAAUCUGGAGCAGAUUGUAUGAAAGGAACAUUAGUUCUCUGAGCAUCUGUUUUCUUCUAAUAAAUAUCUUGUCACAACGGCAAGAUGUAUAAAUGAAGAAAAAUGACAUUAAUCUUGUAUCAAAGUUUUAGAGAUUUUUCAGUCUUGAUGUCUUAAAGUUUUCAACAUCAAAAGAAGAAGGGGUGGAUCAAAACUAACAUGUCCUGUUGUAGUCGCUGGGUAUAAAUUUUUCAGUAACUGAAUGAGUUGGCGAAUAAAGUGUCUGUCUAAGAUUUUGCCAACUCUGGAAAUAAGGUUCUCUUUGAGGAGUUAUAAUGCCCAAUGGACCACUCUUACUCGGGAAAAUGUUUGCAGAUAUAUAUAAAAUUUUCAUAACGUUAGACAUGAUAAAUUAUAGAAGAUUCAAGGUUGAAGAUUAGGAAAAGGAAAUUUUAGAAUCACUUGUAAGUUCUCUUAACAUUCCAAAAGAAGAAAAGAUGGGCUGGGGUCAGUCUUGAGAAUUUGAAACCAUGAAAUUUGCUAUGCCUUGCAUCUGUUCAAUAGUAGAUGAUAUUCUUGUGGAUAAGAGGACCUCAGAAAUUUGGUAUGCUAGAAUAAAUUUCAAAAGCGUAGCUGAAUAAGUCAACUUUCUACGAGUUAAUUCAUGAUUAUAAUAACCCAAUUUUCUUUUCUGGUCAUUAUUUCAAUAAAUGUAAGAAAUAAGAUCCACUAAUUUUUUAAGUAGAAAAGCAAAAAGAUAAAAACAAUUACAUAACCCUGCAUCAUGCCUCCAUUCUCUGCUAGAAUCUCCUUACAAUAGAAUACAAAAAAUUUUAACGACAAUGUCGAAAACUUUUCGAGUAUAAGAAAAUGACAGUGGUAAUGUGGAAUUCCUUUAGUCACCGUUGUUGAUGCAAGAUCCCAUAAAUUUCUCCGUUCCCGUAAAAUUAUGUUGCUUUUAGUUAUACAUGCUUUCUUGAAUCAUUAUUCGUGCUCCAAAAGUUGAUCCAUUCUGCUAUAACUAAAAUUAGAAAAUAAAACAUAAUGAUGGUUCCUCCCAUCUUUUUUCCCCCUAUCUAAUUUUCUUCCACAAUAAAUUUCCCAAAAGUCGUUUCAACCAGGGAGUCACCUUCUGGUUAAUCUCUAAAAUAUAAUUCUGAAGGAAGACCUUAUGAGAAGAAAUGAGUUAUAACUAUAAGUAACAAAUAUUCAAACAGUUGAAUAAUAUGACUUGCAAUCACACUCCACCAUCCCCAAAGAAAAAUGAAAUGAAAGAAUAAAAAGACCACUCCUACUGGGAUGAAGACUGAAGUUCAUGCAGCUAACUGAAUAUUUUAUUGGCUUUUAGAUUGUUUUGACAUUAUAUUAUGGUUUAUCCACGUAUUUCUGCCUGUGAAAUAAAACUACGUUAGAUACAAUUUUAGCAUGGUUUCCCAGAGUCUGAGGAGAAAAAUAACUUCAAUGGUUCUGAAAAUGUACAGUACCUUUUCUUUCAGAAAUUGAAAGAUAAAAAUUAUGCUUUUCUGGCUCUUAUAUCAUCUGUACUAAUUUGUUUCAUGCACACAUAGUUAUUCAAAUUGAUUUUUAUUUUUAUUUUUAUUUUUUGCUUUGUAGGUUUAAAUUGACUAUCAUCAUGAUGUAUAAAAUGUUGGCUCCAUUUGGCCUUCUAUGUUAAUUUUUUUGAAUCUAGAACGAAAAAUAUUCCACUUCUGUGUUAAUGAUGUAGAGAAACAUUAUGAUCCUAUCUGAUACCAAAACAUCUCGACACAUGGUUUAUUCUGGCAAGAAGUAUCACAGAAAAGUUCCAAAGAGAAUUUCCAAGGCUGAGAGAAAGAAAUCAAAGUGCGAACAUCUGAAUGAAAUCUUUCUUUCUUUAUCUAAUGAUUUAGGUAUUUUCCAGAUGCUCAAAUGAUUCUACUUCAUAUAUAACAUUUUUGCCUUGUAACAAAAUUUCCAUCAAGUUAUGGCUCCAUUAACUGAACGACCUUAAAUGACAUCAUUUUUACAUAAUUAUCUAUUCUGAUCAAUGGUGAGGCCUCUGUAUUGGACAGAGCGAUUUGUAUGCAGGGCAGUCCUGGGCACAGGCAAAUGAGGCCUGUGCCUCAGGCCCAAAACCACAAAGGGCCUAUUUUGGCCCAAAGUUUAUUAUUAUUAUUAUUAAAGAAGGAAAAGGAAAAGGAAAAUGAAAAUAGUUUUUUCAUUAAUUGUGAGAUGAUUGAGAUAUUUGUUUGUUGUUUUAAUCUUAAGUUUUAAGUUAACAAUAUGUUGUAUAAUAUAUCGUUGAAUUUUACAUUUACGUUGAUUUUGGAGGCCUAAUUUUUGGAUUUCGCCUCGGGCUCCGACAAUCACAGGACCGGCCCUAUUUGUAUGGUGAAGAACACACUAGAUGAGAUCAACUGUCUGAAAAGAAAAUGCUGCAUGCUGUCUGAAUCUCAAUAUGUAAGUCCACUGACAUCAAGUUUUCACAUUCUGUGUCGAUAACUUUUUAUGACAUGCAGUAUAACAACUGAACCUAAGUUAAUUAAUGUUUUCUGAUAAUAACUUUUAUGUCAAUUCAUAAUGUGGCAAUUGAGAGUUCUAUAAUCCAGUCUCGGUAUAUGCCCUGGAAAAAGGGUGUAUGUUUGGGGAAAAAAAAAAAAAGAAGGAAUUUGAGAAAGAGGAUUUGAGCAUAGUUGAUCAAAUCUUUGAGAUUUUUAAAAUUUCAAAUUCCUAUGAUUUUCCAAUCACUAAACUAAUUCUAAUCUUGUAAAUAAAUUUUGAUUCCCAAUGUGUUGUUUGGUGUAAUUUACUAAUUUUCUUCAGAAACAGCACGCUGUUAAGUGGAAAAGCACAAAAAUUAUAAAUGAAAAGAAAAAUUUUGCAGCAUUAUUUUAGAUCUACUACAAUAGCCAGGUUCUUUUAGCUGAUCACUGGAACUCUAAAUUUAGCACACGCUAAAUUUCUUUAUUGACAGGUGAGCAUGGAGAAAAAGUAACUACAAGAUGAGAAUUCGGCUCUGGAUGCUCAAAUUGGGAAACUGCAAUGUGAACUCAAGGUGAGGGUCUGGUCUGCAACUCGACCUGAAUGUAGCCCCACCUGAAUGUGAACUUCAAGAACUGGAAUCGCGUAUUGGUGAUGAUCAUCAUCAUAGAUUGCCUUGUGUGGAACCAGUUGUUGAUCCUUUAUAUCUCGUCCCUGUCUGCUCAAAUACUCGAGCUUAUCAAGAGCCUGCUAUGGCAGAACUUGCAGGUAAGCCUAACCACAUCCUAGAUAUCCUACUGCAGCAGACAUAUGGCCAUCCGAUUUCUUGAAAAUCAACUGGAGUUAGGCGUGGAAUUUGGAUAAAAGUGGAUGUACAGGACAGCAGGAGGAGGGCUUUUUGACAAUGGAAACUAUAUAAACUACAGUUAUACUCAAGUCUAGUCUCCUAACAAACACAUCUUUCAUCACCUAUCUGUACAUACAUUCGACCUUUUUCCUAAUGUAUAGUUAGAGAUGAUGGAUUUUACCUUAAUUUUAAGGAAGAAUGGUUCUAAAUCUUUGGGGAAAUAAUAUCAUUUGUCCUCAAGAUAUUGUUCCUAUAGCAAGUUGGUUGUCAACCUCUUUUAUAAUAUAGUUGCACACACCAUUCCCACUAUAGUAAGUAUUGAAAUAUUUUAAAUCAUCGUGUGAUCCCCACGAAAACGCGUCGACUUCAAAGUUCUAGGCAGUUUGUUUAAGUUGGGAAGCUAUCUUGUUUUGUAAAGUUGAACAUUUGAGCGUUAUGAUACACGAUGAUUCAAUGGAGGUUUAGACAAUUUUUAUUGUUAAUUACUCAGUGUACAACUUUAGGUUGAUGAUCAACUUGCUCCCUUUCAAAAGUUGGUGAUGAACUAGAACUAUGGUAUGUAAAAGAUUAUAAUUAGGUGAAAAUUGAACUGAAAUAGUAUAGCUCUACAAUGUUUUUAUAUAAGUCAAAUUUAAGUAACGC
This 6029-nucleotide long non-coding RNA is filed under the name Olea europaea subsp. europaea. Lineage: Eukaryota; Viridiplantae; Streptophyta; Magnoliopsida; Lamiales; Oleaceae. The record is from RNAcentral.